This 430-nucleotide ribosomal RNA is filed under the name Bacteroidota bacterium. RNAcentral describes it as "Bacteroidetes bacterium partial 16S ribosomal RNA". It matches the Rfam family "Bacterial small subunit ribosomal RNA", at positions 355 to 776 of the family's 1533-position model. The record is from RNAcentral. Lineage: Bacteria; Pseudomonadati; Bacteroidota.
UAGGGAAUCUUCGGCAAUGGGGGGAACCCUGACCGAGCAACGCCGCGUGAGUGAAGAAGGUUUUCGGAUCGUAAAGCUCUGUUGUUAAGGAAGAACGAGUGUGAGAAUGGAAAGUUCAUGCUGUGACGGUACUUAACCAGAAAGGGACGGCUAACUACGUGCCAGCAGCCGCGGUAAUACGUAGGUGGCAAGCGUUGUCCGGAUUUAUUGGGCGUAAAGCGAGCGCAGGCGGUCAAUUAAGUCUGAUGUGAAAGCCCCCGGCUCAACCGGGGAGGGUGAUUGGAAACUGGUUGACUUGAGUGCAGAAGAGGAGAGUGGAAUUCCAUGUGUAGCGGUGAAAUGCGUAGAUAUAUGGAGGAACACCAGUGGCGAAGGCGACUCUCUGGUCUGUAACUGACGCUGGGGCUCGAAAGCGUGGGUAGCAAACAGG